GAAAGGCCAUUCAGUGUGUGUGGAGCCAACUGUUAAUACAAAACACUUUUAAGCAGCCCAGUGAGACAGGCCUGCAAUUGUCUCUCUUCCCUCUCUUACCUUCUGCUCCGACUCCGUGGUAGGUCCCUAUGCUGUGCUCACGAAGGACACCAUGCCACAGACAUACAAGAGGAAGCGUUCUUGGUCGCGUGCAGUCUUUUCCAACCUGCAGAGGAAAGGCCUGGAGAAAAGGUUUGAGAUCCAGAAGUAUGUGACCAAGCCAGACCGAAAGCAGCUGGCAGCAAUGUUGGGCCUCACAGAUGCACAGGUAAGUCAGCCAGGGAUCCAGCACAUAGUGCCCUACCGGGUGGGCGGGCAGCAGCGGGUGUCCUAACUCCUCAGUCCCCCUCAGUCCCCACCGACUCACCUUUUGAAAUCAAAACACAGUGUCUUGAAUUAAAGGAGGUUUUGUGAACUUUAAAAUUGAGGCAGGAGGAGAGGAGGGUGGGGUAGGGGUGAGGGAGAACUAGGAGGAGAAUUGUUCAUCCCCGAAGAUGUCAACAAGCAGUAUGUGUUUAUUUUGGCCAACAGGCAAAAGAACCACUGAGAAAGCAAAUAGACUGCGGGAGAUGAUAAUUAUGUACUCAACUGGAGUGCAGUUCGCUAUAGGAGGCAGUUUAUUUCAGAAGAGAUAAAAGCCCAAAGUCAAGAGAUUGUUGUUGUUGUUGUUGUUAAUUUAAUUUUAUUUUUCUUCUGCCCUUCCUCCUCCUCUGCUGCUACUGGAUUGUGAAAUCCCUAGUUAUGAGGAAGUGAAAAUAUCAUUUCAAACGGAAUUACUUAGCUCCACUAGGGUCCGCUUAGAGCGGCCACAGGUCCAAGUUCUAACGGCUUUGGCUCUGUAGGAUGUCUCUGUGGUGGGGGCUGGGGUGUCUAGAAAGAAAGGUUUUCUUAAAAUGCCCAAGAGAAUUUCAGCAGGUUCUACCUACUUGAAUUUUUUUCCCCCAAGACAAUAAGAAACCUAUUGUACCUGAAUUAGUUUUCUUUUUCUUUGAUUCAAGAACUGUCCUUUCCUUUCCUUUCCUUUCCUUUCCUUUCCUUUCCUUUCCUUUCUUCUCUUCUUCUUUUAGCUUUGACUUCAGAAGAGACACCUCGUUCCACCUAUCUCAGCAGUAGCUUCUGUCACCAGCAGGGCAGAAGCCAAAGUUAGCCUUCUUUUUCUUAGAUCCCUGAUGGUCCCCUGACUUAUCUCUGUAUCUUUCUGUUCUCCAUUACACAACUCGGCUCCCCAGUGUGCGUGGCUUGUGCAUGCAUUCCCCCCACCCCUUACACACACACUGGAGGAGCCCAGCCAUUUUUCCACCAGCUGUGGAUGUUAUUUUUAAAAGGGAAGCUGGAACUUGUGUGGACGGGUUGGGUCCCCCAGGGAAUCAUAUAUUUAUAUAGAUUCUCUGCUCCAUCUUUUACCCUCUUCUUCCAUUUUGCUCACGUUAAUUCCAGCAUUUUCUGAUCUCCAAGAAAGAUUAGUUUAUCCCUGUCAGAGGCAGGGUUCUUAUCAACUCUGGAGUAAAAAUAUGCCAAAAAAAAAAAAAUCUCUUUUAUUCAAAGCCUGGCAAUACCCCUACUCGGCUAGGAUUAACUCUUUGCACCUCUUUUCUCACUUGCAUCCCACUUUUAUUCUUUAAAAUAAUAGCUUUUGCAGUGGCUUGCUUUGGAUCAUGAUAGUACAGGAUAGGACCUUGUGGAGAGAAAAAUUUUAACAUUGUCUCACCAAAAACUUGAGAUUCUGUGUAUCAUCAUGGGAACAUACCCCUUUUUCUGGGUCAGCAGUCCACAACUUUAAUCAGGUUCUUACAGGAGUCCUGACUCAAGUGAGGUCAAGAAACAGGGAUUUAGAGUAGAGAGCUUUAGUAGGUUUAGGGCCAGUUGCAGGAAUCUGCCUUUUCAACAAACUAUCUAGGUCAUUUCAAAUCUGAGGUCUGGGGGCCACAUUUUGAGAAUGGACCUAGUGGGUUCAGUGGUCCAGGAUCCCUAGGCUCAUUUUAGCCCUUAGCUGCCUCUGGGUCCCUUGUGCUUAUAUGGGAUUUUGGUAACUGCACCUAGUAAGGUGACUGGCAGGUGCAAGAGAGUCAGCCUGUUAUUCAUCUUGACUCCCUGUCCCGCUCAGGUGAAGGUGUGGUUCCAGAACCGGCGAAUGAAGUGGCGCCACUCCAAGGAGGCCCAAGCACAGAAGGAUAAGGACAAGGAGGCCGGCGAGAAGCCUCCAGGCGGAGCCCCGGUUGCCGAGGGCGAACAGGAGGAGAGGAGCCCCAGUCGCUCAGAGGGCGAGGCCGAGAGCGAGAGCAGCGACUCCGAGUCUCUGGACAUGGUCCCCAGCGACACCGAGCGGACUGAGGGGGCUGAGCGAUCUCUUCACCAAACAACUGUUAUCAAGGCCUCGGCCGCCGGCACCCUCAUCGCGGCCAGCAGCGGUGGGAGUGGAGGAGGUAGCGGCGGCAGCAGUUUCAGCUUCGGCAGCGCUAGCAGCCUCAGUAGCACCAGCACCAGCACGGGGAGCGCAAGCAGUCUUGGCAGCGGGGGCAGUAGCACCUCGGAGCUGCUCCCUGCACCCCAACCCACAGUUAGCAGUGCUCCCAAAAGCCCGGAGCCUCCCCAGGUCCCGCUGGGCAGCUUAUAGACUUCAGGAGGACUCAGGGGACUCUACGCGCAGCCUCCCACAUACGGGCUGGAUUUUGUGUUGGCGUUGGGCUGGGGCCAGAGAUGCAGCAAAGACUACUCUUCAGUGUUCACUCCAUGCCCCUUGGUGCCCAGAGCUCAGAGCCCAGAGGCCAUAAGUGUGUCCCCACCAAAGAUUCCUAUGGAACUCUUCUCUGGACAUGUGCAGCCCACACUGUGAAGUGUUUGAACUGUUCCUGCUCUCCAGGGAUCGUGGCAUAAAGACAUGCUGCACUUAAGAAGCCUUAAACUUGUAAAUAAAAUGUUUACCAUGGUUUGUAAAAGGCCCUUGGCUUGCUGGGGUGAUCUCCAAGGAUCUUUAACCCAAAUGUUAGGCCUGAACCAGGAUCUUAGGUGGGGGGAUGGGGCUUUUGGGGAAAAGAGGUUCAACCUGAGAGACAUCUUGUUGCAGAGAUCUGUCUCCGGAGUCAGAGGAUUCACCUAAUUCAGUGGGUAGGUAGCUGGUGCCAACCACCAGCUAACAUGGGUUUGGUCACCCUUUGCAUGGCCUGAGAGAAGAAUAAAGAGCAGGCCCUAGAAUCUGUUAGGCCUGUUCAGCAGAUGGUCUCCUCAUUCAGAGGCUGGUUGCAAUGAGUGUGUAUCCCUUGCUUUCCCUGUUCCACAGUGUGCAGGAGAAGUGGAGAAGGCUAUGCUCCUGGCUAUGCUUCUGUCAAUUUAAGGCAUGGCAGUACUCUUUAGGUGGCCACUCAGGGCCCUGGCAGGAAUGUCGACUCUCCCAGUGCAAACUGCUCUUUGCUCAGGGAUGGGGUAGAGGACACAGGGCAGGUCUGUAGUGUCUAUUGGAGGAAAGGACAGGAAUGCCACAGUAGUUAGGGCUGUAAGCCUGUGUCUGUGCUGGGUCCUGGUUUUAAAGAUGCUAAAAUAAUUUACAGACAAAGAAGUGCCUUGUUAAAGGUUAUGCAGAGCCCAAAUCAGAAUUUAGACUUCUUGGCUCACAUUUUGUUGGUAAUGAAUCUAUAAAAUUGAACCCUAUCACGCUUUGUACUAUAUUGCACAAAAUCUUCCUUCUUAUUCCUCUGGGGCAGGCACCCAAUUGAGUUCUUUCUCUGCCUCAUUUCUGCCCCAGCCUCCCUAGAGUUGAGACAGUUUCCCCACUCCACUGCAGCUACAAAAUAGUAAACCUAAAUCUAUUUCACCUUGCUGCUGCUGGUAGGUACCUGUUUUUUUUUGUUUUGCCAAAGAAGGGGGGUCAAACCUUUUCCAAGACCUGUUCUCUUCUACUUUCCUUCCCUGGAAAUUUAUGAAAUGUUUAGAGAUGAGCAAAAACAAUCCUUUGAAAAAAUUUGAAACAAAGAGAUGGCCCUAAAAAUUUUUUGGCACUGAAAGUUGAGGGAGAUAACAAGGUCUCUCACAAAUCCAGCAUCCUAUCACAGGAACUGUAUGUACAGUACUUAGCAAGGGGGAGAGGUGCUGAGAUCAGAGAGCCUAAAAUGUGCUCCAGUCUCCAGGCCAAGUGAGAAGGUUCCCAGAAGCUCCAGGGGUCUUGCUUAUCUUCUGCCCCAUCUUGACUCAUUCCCUGGAGCUCAUUCCAGGACCUUUGUACUAGACCUAUUGCCCACCCGGGUACAGAGAGCUGUGCCACAGAUACAGCCUUCUCUCCCUAGGCUAAGCCAGAUGCCUAAACUAAUCUCAGAGCAGUAAGCACAGGGAUGCAGGGCUGACAAUUCUCUGUUCCAAUCAACCUCCCAAGCCCCCAAAUGGAGCUGAAUUCCUAGAGGAAAGAGCCAAGUGUAAAGGGGGUUAGGAACAACCAGGGUUGUCAAGAAUAGGGAAGAGUAAAUUUACCCGACCUUGGACUAGCUAUUCUAAUUGUUCCACAAGAGUUUUUGGGCCAGCAGCAGCCUCCCAAUCCUCAUGGGCUUCAAGCACCCGGGGAGUAGAGGCUCUGGUACCUUAGCUAUGGUAUUCUCUCUUUACCUCAGUUUUGCCUUCAUUAUAGAGAAAUGAAUCUCUGACUCCCCAAAUGUUGAAAUUUUGGAACCGAACAAAUCAAAGACCAUUGAAUUUUGAGGCAUUUAAACCCAGUUUUGACGUUAAGGAGAUGUGCAUGGGGGCGCAUUUGUGUAUAUUAACUGGGGAGCAGAGCCCGGCUGGGGAGGAGAGACUGGGAGGGGUUAGGGCUUUAUUGCAAACUGUACCCACCUCCACUGCUCGAAGUGCUCUUCAAGAGCUCUCUGCCCUCAAAAUCCCUGCCGCAUUUCUUUUUCAUUCAGGGUUUAGAAAUUGAAGAAACUAAUUACUCGGGGGAGGGUAAUGGUGUGAUUUCAAGUAGAAUUUCGGCCCUACCUCCGCAAGGCUCCACCACACCAAAGGGCGCGGGGAAACUGGGAUGGAGAGUAAGCCUGACGGCAGCGGGAGUUGGAAGGUCUGGAAGUUCCUUUAGUGCUUCCAGGAGGCACCCCCCUGCCUCUGUCAACCCUACCCCUGGUCCCUGAAUAUUUAUCUUGUGAAACUCUUGAAGGGCUUUUCCCGGGUAGAGGAGCUUUUCACAUUUUCAUCAGAAACGGAACAUCACAACCUCUGGUGAAGUUUAAAAGUUUAUUUGGAGGAAGAGCAGCUGCAGGGCUUAGAAUCCUUUCUGGGAAGAAAGGCGGCUUUUGGGGAGGAUUGUUCCCCCCCCCCCCCCCCCCGGGGGCUGCUCUUUAGGGCAUCGACUAUUGGAAUCUUUCUGGCAGCGCUCGAUCCUGCCUAAGCAAGUAGAACUGAGGGUUCUGGGACACGAAAGAGAAGGCUGAGCCUGGUAAAUCUGCAGACGCCAGACUUCUGGGCUAGAGCCCGGAGGAGGCGGGUGCGCAUCGGAGAGCCGAGCAGAGCUGAGGCCCGUGUCUUUCACAUGCCCCACAGGACUGGAGCUUUUCUCCAAGCAGUAAUAACUCCUUUCUCCGAGCAGGGCUCUUGCUCGCGCAGCCCUAGAAGUUCCCGCAGCCCUAGAAGUUCCCGCAGCAUCAAGCUCUCUGAGCAUUUUCCCUAGGUGCGCGAAGCACAUGGAGGCAAAACCAAAAAAACUGAACCGACCAGCGCUGGGAGUGGGGAUGGGUGAGAAUCCAAUACUCAGUCCCCUUUCCCCGCAGCACUUAAACGCAGAAAUGCACACAACAGAAACAGACACGAAGAUUCAUACAGGAACAAGAGACUGGUACUCCGUUGUGGGUGAUACCAUACACAUUUCCGCGUUCUUCUCCAUAUGGCAAAGCAACGUGAUGAGCCUCAUGCCUGCGUUGGUGGAUGGGAUGCUAGUCUCAGUAGAAAAGUUUCCUAGCCCAAGUUCCGCAGACCAAACCAUCAAAACCCAGGAUGCAUAGCCUUACAUUUGCUGGCCUCAUUGGAGAGAGGGAAGGGACUGAGAUGCCAGUAGUUUGUCACUCUCGCUGGACAGUCCCUACCAAGUCCAAAGCACAAGGUCCAGAGAGACAUCAAAACCUUUAUGGGGGGACUCCUAUUGAUAUAUCAGCCAAGGAAAAGAUUCCUUGUCCUCCCCACUACUCUACCCUCUUCAAGUUCUGAAAUCUUUUGUGUGUGUAUUGCUCAGACUCUGAUUGUCACAAAUCUGUCUGAUCCCUUUGAAACUCAGAAAAGACCACAAAGUCCAGGACCUAUGAGAUUUUUUUUCUCUGACUGCUCUCCCUACCCAGGGUCUGGGUCUGGAGUGGAAUGUUGGUGAGGCUUGACUGUGCCCUGCCUAAAGCAGGCUACACAAGACAGAAUAAGAUUGUCCAUCUCUUCCAAGCCUUUUCUUUGGGGUCCCAGAGGUCAAAGUAACCUGAGAGUGAACCCAGCUUCUUCUGCACAGACUCACAGCCACUUUCAGGAGCUUAGGGGUCUUAAGGAGGGUUGGGCAGGAACUAGACCUGCAGCAGUGGAUUUUCUGAGGGUGUUUUAGACUUGAAGUUUAAUCUGUGGAGCUUUAACCUAUUCUGGGAUGUAAUCAUAACUCACCCCAUGCUGAAGCCAAUUUCAGAUUCCAGAUUGGUGAGAUAGGCUUGGGGCUGUUUUGGAGUUAUUAACUGUGGAAAAGAGGGCAGAGGCUGAAGAAGUUUUCUCACUCUCCUUUGGUUUUUGUAUGUUGAGUCGCCCCUCCAGUUGUGUGUGUGUGUGUGUGUGUGUGUGUGUUUUAAGUAAUAGGGGCAGGGUAACUACGAGCUUGGUUCUCCCCAUUAAAUUUAAUGGCAUAGCAUUGAAGAUAUCCAAGAAGAUGCUUAAUGCCAUAGGGAUACCACAUUUCCCUUUAUUUAGCCUCUGGGGAGUGGGGACACUGCACACUCUAAGGUCUGUGUGAAGAUGCAAGUAUUGGGUUUAAAGGAGGAUUUUAACUAUAUAUAUUGGGGAGAGGAAUAAAAACCUCGAUAUAACACUUCUUAUUUCCAGCUUCCACUUACGAUGUUGUGAUGGGAUUGGGCAGCAACUCCAAGACUAAUGGAAGUCUUAAAGGUAAUCUCCUUACCCAUGUAGACAUUAAAGCUGUGAUGCAGCUGCUCUUGGGGAAUCCUGAUAAUUUACACAAGACAGAAAACACUUUCUAAGAUAUCUCCAAGAUGGUUUCCAACAGAGCAGCAACACUUGCUGGGAUCUCUGUCUCACAUAGACAGGCUGGUUUGGAGAACUGCUGGCCCUUGGGUCCCUUUGCUGUCCCAUAUGCUGUGUCAUUUUAGAAACCAAGGAUGUAUGUCUCCAGAGCUGCUCCACAGAUUUACUUCAGACUCCCUCAUCUUAAGGAUGUGACCAAGGUCCCCAGAAGAAUGAGUAAGAGGAGUAAGAUGAGCCUUGGGGUCAAUGCCUAUUGAGGUCCACAAGAACGUGAAGGCUCCUCCAGGAUUCCAGUCCGGAUUUUUAAAGCUUAAUUGUUUUUUUUUUUUUUUUUAAAUAGCUAGGAGGUUCUGCUGCGCGACUUUGGGCUCCUGUUAGCUCCUCCCCUCCCCCUCUGUGGUCCCUUUGGGAGUCGCUGAUCAGGCUUGGUUUUUCUCUAGUUGACACCCCGCCCUCCAACUUGCGCGGUCUCAGGAGCAGGUAAAACUUUGUUAACAGUGAUUAGGGCGCCAGUCACACCUUGCUCUGGGACCCUGCGCUAUCCCAGGCGCUUUUCAGCUUUUGUUGAUGGACGCUGACUCUUGGGAUUCUGGGCAGGAAGCAGAGCUCUUGGAGGCCCUUGUAGUGCCUGCAGAGCAUGGGGGCGUUGCUUCCUUCUUUCUCUCCUGAGCUUCGGACUUGCCCUGGAGGCUGGGGAUACCAAACCUCCCACUCUCCAGCAAUCCACUGCACCCUGAAGACAAGGAACCAGAGAGCGAGAGCCAGGCUUCAGGGGCUGCCGCAGCCACACCUCUCAGAGUUCCUGGAUCUGAUGACUUGCAGUGACUCUGGGUUGGGGAAGAUAUAGCCAAGAGGCCAGCGGGUGAAGCUGGGAACAGAGUGCACUGGAAGAAGUAUAUCUAAUCCCAACACAGGAUAAGGGGAACCAAACUAGCUCCAGAGCAUCAUUCAUUCAUUCAACAGCCAGUAACCGUCCGUGUGACCUUGGGAAAUUCAUCCUAACCAUUUGGAUUCACUUUCCUCACUGUAAGGUUAUAAUUAAAGGUGUGUAACUCAUAAAUUGCUGAGGAUCAAUUACAUUUUCUAAAAAGUGAUAAAAGAGCAGUGCUAGUAUACAGUUAGCGGUAUAGGCUUAUUUAUAUUCCUUCAUGCAUUCGUUUGGAAGACCCUCCCUCAUGGCUAUUCACUGCAGUAUUUAUUGAGCUCUUAGUUAGUGUCCACACAGCAAGGUAAAAGAAAUAAUAAUAAUAAUAAUAUAAAGAAUGUGUGACUAUCCUAACUCUCCAAGAUAUUAAAUUAUUAGGUGGAGACCCGUGAAUGGGUCUCCUGCCCUGUGUCUCUGGGAAACCAUUUAAAUACUGGUGCAAGAUGUUUGGACGCUGACAGGGGUUGUAUGGUAUUCCCAAUGAUUACAUUAGAUGCUCAUUGGCUCAGCCUUCAAAGGAUACACAGCAGGUUUUCAAUACAACCUUUGUGUAGGUGUGUUUGGGAGUUACCCUUGAGAUUUAGAAGGGGUAAGAAGCUAGGAUUUCCUGACACUUAGGUUUGAAGGAAGCUUAAGCAAGUGUUUGGGGUCCCAGGAGAGAAAAUUUGCUCAGGCUGUUGAAAGUAUGUCAGGACAAAUGGCACUUCGGGAGGGAGUUUUAAAUUCUCAACUAAUAGCCAUGAGGGAGGGUCUUCAAAACGGAAACAGGAAAUUAAUAAUCCCUUUGAAGGACACAGGCACUCUCAGUUACUUAAGGGAAGGACCAGUCUCCGUNGUACUCUUUAGGUGGCCACUCAGGGCCCUGGCAGGAAUGUCGACUCUCCCAGUGCAAACUGCUCUUUGCUCAGGGAUGGGGUAGAGGACACAGGGCAGGUCUGUAGUGUCUAUUGGAG
This 9114-nucleotide long non-coding RNA is filed under the name Marmota monax (woodchuck). The record is from RNAcentral. Lineage: Eukaryota; Metazoa; Chordata; Mammalia; Rodentia; Sciuridae.